CUUUCCAGAGAUGGAUUGGUGCCUUCGGGAACUCUGACACAGGUGCUGCAUGGCGUGUCGUCAGCUCGUGUCGUGAGAUGUUGGGUUAAGUCCGUACGAGCGCAACCCUUGUCCUUAGUUACCAGCACGUUAUGGUGGGCACUCUAAGGAGACUGCCGGUGACAACCGGAGGAAGGUGGGGAUGACGUCAAGUCAUCAUGGCCCUUACGGCCUGGGCUACACACGUGCUACAAUGGUCGGUACAAAGGGUUGCCAAGCCGCGAGGUGGAGCUAAUCCCAUAAAACCGAUCGUAGUCCGGAUCGCAGUCUGCAACUCGACUGCGUGAAGUCGGAAUCGCUAGUAAUCGUGAAUCAGAAUGUCACGGUGAAUACGUUCCCGGGCCUU
RNAcentral lists this ribosomal RNA (385 nucleotides) under uncultured Pseudomonas sp. RNAcentral's name for it is "bacterial SSU rRNA". It matches the Rfam family "Bacterial small subunit ribosomal RNA", at positions 996 to 1382 of the family's 1533-position model. Lineage: Bacteria; Pseudomonadati; Pseudomonadota; Gammaproteobacteria; Pseudomonadales; Pseudomonadaceae. The record is from RNAcentral.